UUGCACGCUGGCGGACUGCUUUACCCCUGCAAGUCGCACGGCAGCACGGGGGCAGCCCUGGUGGCGAGUGGCGAACGGGUGAGUAAUACAUCGGAACGUGCCCGGUCGUGGGGGAUAACGUAGCGAAAGUUACGCUAAUACCGCAUACGAUCUGAGGAUGAAAGCGGGGGACCUUCGGGCCUCGCGCGAUCGGCGCGGCCGAUGUCAGAUUAGGUAGUUGGUGGGGUAAAGGCCUACCAAGCCGACGAUCUGUAGCUGGUCUGAGAGGACGACCAGCCACACUGGGACUGAGACACGGCCCAGACUCCUACGGGAGGCAGCAGUGGGGAAUGUUGGACAAUGGGCGCAAGCCUGAUCCAGCCAUUCCGCGUGCAGGACGAAGGCCUUCGGGUUGUAAACUGCUUUUGUACGGAACGAAAAGGCUCUGGCUAAUACCUGGGGCUCAUGACGGUACCGUAAGAAUAAGCACCGGCUAACUACGUG
Molecule: ribosomal RNA, 483 nt
Filed under: uncultured bacterium
Lineage: Bacteria
Description: partial 16S ribosomal RNA
Rfam family: Bacterial small subunit ribosomal RNA
Source: RNAcentral